Molecule: ribosomal RNA, 301 nt
Filed under: uncultured bacterium
Lineage: Bacteria
Description: partial 16S ribosomal RNA
Rfam family: Bacterial small subunit ribosomal RNA
Source: RNAcentral
CAGCCGCCACGGGAAUACGAAGGGUGCAAGCGUUACUCGGAAUUACUGGGCGUAAAGCGUGUGUAGGUGGUUGUUUAAGUCUGUCGUGAAAGCCCUGGGCUCAACCUGGGAAUUGCGAUGGAUACUGGGCGACUAGAGUGCGGUAGAGGACAGUGGAAUUUCCGGUGUAGCGGUGAAAUGCGUAGAGAUCUGGAGGAAUACCGGUGGCGAAGGCGGCCCCCUGGACGAAGACUGAUGCUCAGGUACGAAAGCGUGGGGAGCAAACAGGAUUAGAUACCCCCGUAGUCCCUGUCUCUUAUAC